RNAcentral lists this ribosomal RNA (357 nucleotides) under Euglossa iopoecila. RNAcentral's name for it is "partial 16S ribosomal RNA". Lineage: Eukaryota; Metazoa; Arthropoda; Insecta; Hymenoptera; Apidae. The record is from RNAcentral.
GUACUAAGGUAGCAUAAUCAAUUGUCUUUUAAUUGAAGAAUGGAAUGAAAGAAUUAAUGAAAUAUAUACUGUCUCAAUUAUAAAAAUUAAUUUAAAUUUUUAGUUAAAAUGCUAAAUUUAAAUUAUGGGACGAUAAGACCCUAUAGAAUUUUAUAUUAAAUUAUUUGUAAUAAUUAAUUAUUAAAUUAUUAUAAAUAAUUUAAUAUUUAAUUGGGAGGAUUUAUAAAUUUAAUAAACUUUAUAUUAAUAAUUAAACUUUGAUUUAAGAAAAUUUAAUUUGAUAUAGUAAUAUUAAUUAAGAAAAAAAAUUACCUUAGGGAUAACAGCGUAAUAUCUUUUUAAAGUACAAAUUAAUAA